GACGAACGCUGGCGGCGUGCUUAAUACAUGCAAGUCGACGAGCUUUUAAUUAGCAAUAGUUAAAAGAGAGUGGCGCACGGGUGAGUAACACGUAGAUAAUCUACCCUCAGGACUGACAUAAUGUCGAGAAAUCGGCACUAAUAUCAGAUGAAGUAAUAUCAUGGCAUCAGAGAUAUUAUCAAAGUUUUAACGCCUGGGGACGAGUCUGCGGUCCAUUAGGUAGUUGGCGGAUUAAAAGCCCCCCCAAGCCUACGAUGGAUAGCUGGUCUGAGAGGAUGAUCAGCCACACUGGAACUGAGAUACGGUCCAGACUCCUACGGGAGGCAGCAGUAAGGAAUAUUGCUCAAUGGGAGAAAUCCUGAAGCAGCAACGCCGCGUGGAGGAUGAAAGGUCUUUGACUUGUAAACUCCUAGUAAAGAAGGAAAAAUUCCCAAUUAGAUGGGAAAUGAGUGGUACUUCUAAAGUAAGCUACCGGCUAACUACGUGCC
This 488-nucleotide ribosomal RNA is filed under the name uncultured bacterium. RNAcentral's name for it is "bacterial SSU rRNA". It matches the Rfam family "Bacterial small subunit ribosomal RNA", at positions 28 to 509 of the family's 1533-position model. The record is from RNAcentral.